Molecule: ribosomal RNA, 204 nt
Filed under: uncultured bacterium
Lineage: Bacteria
Description: partial 16S ribosomal RNA
Rfam family: Bacterial small subunit ribosomal RNA
Source: RNAcentral
UACGGGGGGGAGCAAGCGUUGUUCGGAUUUACUGGGCGUAAAGGGCGGGUAGGCGGCCACCGCAAGUCAGUUGUGAAAUCUCUGGGCUUAACCCAGAAAGGUCAACUGAUACUGCGGGGCUAGAGUGCAGAAGGGGCAACUGGAAUUCUCGGUGUAGCGGUGAAAUGCGUAGAUAUCGAGAGGAACACCGGUGGCGAAGGCGGG